CCUACGGGAGGCAGCAGUGAGGAAUAUUGGUCAAUGGCCGGAAGGCUGAACCAGCCAAGCCGCGUGAAGGACGAAUGUGCCAAGCAUUGUAAACUUCUUUUGUCAAGGGACAAAAUCAGCCUCGAGAGCCUGACCGUGGGUACUUGAAGAAAAAGCAUCGGCUAACUCCGUGCCAGCAGCCGCGGUAAUACGGAGGAUGCGGGCGUUAUCCGGUUUUCUUGGGUUUAAAGGGUGCGUAGGCGGACUGUUAAGUCCUCGGUAAAAGCCCGGGACUCAACCCCGGCGAGCCGUUGAACCUGGCUGUCUUGAGAUGUCGAGAGGUAGGCGGAAUGCGCAGUGUAGCGGUGAAAUGCUUAGAUAUUGCGCAGAACUCCGAUUGCGAAGGCAGCAUACCGGCGGCGAGCUGACGCUGAGGCACGAAAGCGUGGGUAUCGAACAGGAUUAGAUACCCUAGUAGUC
This 459-nucleotide ribosomal RNA is filed under the name uncultured bacterium. RNAcentral describes it as "partial 16S ribosomal RNA". It matches the Rfam family "Bacterial small subunit ribosomal RNA", at positions 338 to 795 of the family's 1533-position model. The record is from RNAcentral.